Long non-coding RNA from Trachymyrmex cornetzi, 90 nucleotides. RefSeq lists it as uncharacterized. The transcript is spliced from 4 exons. The record is from RefSeq and is a predicted model, not a curated record. NCBI's taxonomy places the organism in Eukaryota, Metazoa, Arthropoda, Insecta, Hymenoptera, Formicidae.
UACAUAUAGGCACACAUAAUAAGGUAAUAGCGAUAAAUUUCCGACGAGUUGAAAUUCUGUGGCUAUCGCCUUAUAGCCUACCAAUCAGCG